UUGGUUUAUAAGCAGAUUCCCGAGAGGAUUCACGAUUUAUGUGGAUAUGCCUUGUAACCGAGUUAACUAUCCAAUUAAUUGGAUUAAAUGUAUAGGGGGAAUAUAAAGUG
This 110-nucleotide small RNA is filed under the name Loigolactobacillus backii. Its description in RNAcentral is "Lactobacillus backii SAM-III sequence". It matches the Rfam family "SAM-III riboswitch aptamer (SMK box)". The record is from Rfam by way of RNAcentral. Lineage: Bacteria; Bacillati; Bacillota; Bacilli; Lactobacillales; Lactobacillaceae.